RNAcentral lists this ribosomal RNA (379 nucleotides) under uncultured bacterium. Its description in RNAcentral is "bacterial SSU rRNA". It matches the Rfam family "Bacterial small subunit ribosomal RNA", at positions 790 to 1167 of the family's 1533-position model. The record is from RNAcentral.
GUAGUCCACGCCCUAAACGAUGUCAACUAGUUGUCGGAUCUGUUAAAAGAUUUGGUAACGUAGCUAACGCGUGAAGUUGACCGCCUGGGAAGUACGGUCGCAAGAUUAAAACUCAAAGGAAUUGACGGGGACCCGCACAAGCGGUGGAUUAUGUGGAUUAAUUCGAUGCAACGCGAAAAACCUUACCUACCCUUGACAUGCUCGAAAUUCCACAGAGAUGUGGAAGUGCCCGAAAGGGAAUCGAGGCACAGGUGCUGCAUGGCUGUCGUCAGCUCGUGUCGUGAGAUGUUGGGUUAAGUCCCGCAACGAGCGCAACCCUUGUCACUAAUUGCCAUCAUUAAGUUGGGCACUUUAGUGAGACUGCCGGUGACAAACCGGA